This 148-nucleotide non-coding RNA is filed under the name Pan troglodytes (chimpanzee). The record is from Rfam by way of RNAcentral. Lineage: Eukaryota; Metazoa; Chordata; Mammalia; Primates; Hominidae.
GCUGGACAUGGUGGUGCACGCCUGUAAUCCCAGCUACUCGGGAGGCUGAGGCAGGAGAAUCGCUUGAACCCAGGAGGCAGAGGGUGCAGUGAGCCAAGAUUGUGCCACUGCACUCCUGCCUGGGCAACAGAGCAAGACUCUGUCUCAA